AAGUCGAGCGGACCGACGGGAGCUUGCUCCCUUAGGUCAGCGGCGGACGGGUGAGUAACACGUGGGUAACCUGCCUGUAAGACUGGGAUAACUCCGGGAAACCGGGGCUAAUACCGGAUGCUUGAUUGAGCCGCAUGGUUCAAUUAUAAAACGGUGGCUUUCAGCUACCACUUACAGAUGGACCCGCGGCGCAUUAGCUAGUUGGUGAGGUAACGGCUCACCAAGGCGACGAUGCGUAGCCGACCUGAGAGGGUGAUCGGCCACACUGGGACUGAGACACGGCCCAGACUCCUACGGGAGGCAGCAGUAGGGAAUCUUCCGCAAUGGACGAAAGUCUGACGGAGCAACGCCGCGUGAGUGAUGAAGGUUUUCGGAUCGUAAAACUCUGUUGUUAGGGAAGAACAAGUACCGUUCGAAUAGGGCGGCACCUUGACGGUACCUAACCAGAAAGCCACGGCUAACUACGUGCCAGCAGCCGCGGUAAUACCUAGGUGGCAAGCGUUGUCCGGAAUUAUUGGGCGUAAAGCGCGCGCAGGCGGUUUCUUAAGUCUGAUGUGAAAGCCCCCGGCUCAACCGGGGAGGGUCAUUGGAAACUGGGGAACUUGAGUGCAGAAGAGGAGAGUGGAAUUCCACGUGUAGCGGUGAAAUGCGUAGAGAUGUGGAGGAACACCAGUGGCGAAGG
This 682-nucleotide ribosomal RNA is filed under the name uncultured Bacilli bacterium. RNAcentral describes it as "bacterial SSU rRNA". It matches the Rfam family "Bacterial small subunit ribosomal RNA", at positions 59 to 721 of the family's 1533-position model. Lineage: Bacteria; Bacillati; Bacillota; Bacilli. The record is from RNAcentral.